Molecule: non-coding RNA, 163 nt
Organism: Vibrio sp.
Lineage: Bacteria; Pseudomonadati; Pseudomonadota; Gammaproteobacteria; Vibrionales; Vibrionaceae
Source: Rfam
GUACGUUCUCAGGGCGGGGUGUAAUUCCCCACCGGCGGUAAUGGCGCGCAAAGCGUCUAGCCCGCGAGCGCUUGCCGGUCUGUUGCAGACUGUGCGGCAAGGUCAGCAGAGCCGGUGAGAUUCCGGAGCCGACGGUUAAAGUCCGGAUAAAGAGAGAGCGGGA